Molecule: ribosomal RNA, 462 nt
Filed under: uncultured bacterium
Lineage: Bacteria
Description: partial 16S ribosomal RNA
Rfam family: Bacterial small subunit ribosomal RNA
Source: RNAcentral
GACGAACGCUGGCGGCGUGCUUAACACAUGCAAGUCGAACGGAAAGGCCCUUCGGGGUACUCGAGUGGCGAACGGGUGAGCAACACGUGGGUGAUCUGCCCUGCACUUUGGGAUAAGCCUGGGAAACUGGGUCUAAUACCGAAUAGGACCACGCGCUUCAUGGUGUGUGGUGGAAAGCUUUUGCGGUGUGGGAUGGGCCCGCGGCCUAUCAGCUUGUUGGUGGGGUAAUGGCCUACCAAGGCGACGACGGGUAGCCGGCCUGAGAGGGUGACCGGCCACACUGGGACUGAGAUACGGCCCAGACUCCUACGGGAGGCAGCAGUGGGGAAUAUUGCACAAUGGGCGCAAGCCUGAUGCAGCGACGCCGCGUGAGGGAUGACGGCCUUCGGGUUGUAAACCUCUUUCACCAGGGACGAAGCGUAAGUGACGGUACCUGGAGAAGAAGCACCGGCCAACUACGUG